GAAACCAGAAGUUUAAAGCGGUGCCACAGGGCUGAGCAUGUAUUCUCAGGUGAAAAAAACAACGUUCUAUAAAAUUAGCCUUUUUUGUCCAAGACUCAAAAAAAUACUGUUUUUUCAUGCAAAGUCUACAUAGUACAUACAAAGGGCACAGGAGUGUAUAUCUGUAAAAGAAAAAGAAAAACCCCUCACGCUCUUUGGUGGC
Molecule: long non-coding RNA, 202 nt
Filed under: Brachypodium distachyon (stiff brome)
Lineage: Eukaryota; Viridiplantae; Streptophyta; Magnoliopsida; Poales; Poaceae
Description: long non-coding RNA (BDIS_LNC005308)
Source: RNAcentral